Long non-coding RNA from Bufo bufo (common toad), 339 nucleotides. RefSeq lists it as uncharacterized. The transcript is spliced from 3 exons. Lineage: Eukaryota; Metazoa; Chordata; Amphibia; Anura; Bufonidae. The record is from RefSeq and is a predicted model, not a curated record.
CACAUUUUCAUAAAACAAAAUCCAAUUUUAGCAUACGUUACUGCUGCAGCAGCUUUAUGCAUAAAGCAAUCUUUCGUUUCUUCACAUACCUUGAGUUUUUCCAAACAUUUACAAUAUAAGGACCUUCUCAAGAUGGCUCCUCUGCCAGUUCUCUAAGGCCAAAACUGCUUUCCCUCACUUCCCAUACACACUUGCUUUAGCCAGCAGCUCCUUGCCAGCCAAUCAAAUUGGAUAACUGAGAGACACGCCUCCUCACUCUGAAGCCUAAUGCAGGCAUGCAGUGUGAAGGACCGCCCCUCUAUCUUCUAAUGCCUCUUUCACACUUGCGUUGUCCGGAUC